UACGUAGGCAGCGAGCGUUGUUCGGAAUUACUGGGCGUAAAGCGUGCGCAGGCGGUUAUGCAAGACAGAUGUGAAAUCCCCGGGCUCAACCUGGGAACUGCAUUUGUGACUGCAUGACUAGAGUACGGCAGAGGGGGAUGGAAUUCCGCGUGUAGCAGUGAAAUGCGUAGAUAUGCGGAGGAACACCGAUGGCGAAGGCAAUCCCCUGGGCCAAUACUGACGCUCAGGCACGAAAGCGUGGGGAGCAAACAGG
Molecule: ribosomal RNA, 253 nt
Filed under: uncultured bacterium
Lineage: Bacteria
Description: partial 16S ribosomal RNA
Rfam family: Bacterial small subunit ribosomal RNA
Source: RNAcentral